Molecule: unclassified non-coding RNA, 208 nt
Filed under: plant metagenome
Description: partial contains small subunit ribosomal RNA, internal transcribed spacer 1, and 5.8S ribosomal RNA
Source: RNAcentral
GUAGGUGAACCUGCGGAAGGAUCAUUCAUAAUAAGUGUUUUAUGGCACUUUUUUAAAUCCAUAUCCACCUUGUGUGCAAUGUCAGGGUUGAUUUUUCUCUCGAGAGGAUCAGCCCCAAACAUCAACUAUAUCUCAACUCUUUGUCCGAAAAAUAUUAUGAAUAAAACAAUUCAAAAUACAACUUUCAACAACGGAUCUCUUGGCUCUC